RNAcentral lists this long non-coding RNA (510 nucleotides) under Mustela putorius furo (domestic ferret). RNAcentral describes it as "lncRNA (ENSMPUG00000028406.1)". Lineage: Eukaryota; Metazoa; Chordata; Mammalia; Carnivora; Mustelidae. The record is from RNAcentral.
AUGGAAGGAACUUUAGAGAUCUUUAGUCCAGCACUUAUAUUAAGCUUCUCAGAGGAAACUGGUGAGGAGACCUAUAAUGGCUUGCUCAAGGUCAUCCAGUUUAGAGGACAAGUAGGAGCAAAUUUCUGUCUUUCAGUUGACCGAUCUUUCUACCAUGUACCCUUUUAUUUUCUAUCUAAAAAUAUUAUCUACAUCGUCCCACCUAAUGUUUUACAUAGCACUUAUUUUUAUGAUAUUGCCUUUGUGGUAUUCUUAUCGUUAAAAGAAAGGACCUUAAAAAAGAAAGCAAGGCUGUCUCGUCCAGAGCUCCUCCGCCAGGGAUGCCAGUCACCGCUUUAAGCCCAAGGGUAAGGAUAUAAUCUUUAUCAAAGAAUGUAGUAUAUUUGGAAGUAAAAUAAGUCAUAAUAACCAGUGUCAUCAACUUUUUUUGUUAAAAAAGAUUUUAUUUAUUUACUUGACAGACAGAGAUCACAAGCAGGCAGAGAGGCAGGCAGAGAGAGAGGAAGGGAA